RNAcentral lists this ribosomal RNA (163 nucleotides) under Caltha palustris. RNAcentral describes it as "5.8S ribosomal RNA". It matches the Rfam family "5.8S ribosomal RNA". From Rfam's summary of the family: 5.8S ribosomal RNA (5.8S rRNA) is a component of the large subunit of the eukaryotic ribosome. It is transcribed by RNA polymerase I as part of the 45S precursor that also contains 18S and 28S rRNA. Lineage: Eukaryota; Viridiplantae; Streptophyta; Magnoliopsida; Ranunculales; Ranunculaceae. The record is from RNAcentral.
GAAUGACUCUCGGCAACGGAUAUCUCGGCUCUUGCAUCGAUGAAGAACGUAGCGAAAUGCGAUACUUGGUGUGAAUUGCAGAAUCCCGUGAACCAUCGAGUCUUUGAACGCAAGUUGCGCCCGAUGCCACUAGGUUGAGGGCACGUCUGCCUGGGCGUCACAC